CAACUGGGCUCCCUCCGCCCCCCCCCCCCCGCCCAUUUAGCUUGCCAGCAUCUGCUGCACAGAGUAGUGAUGCAGCAUUACCUGCCGAAUGAAUGAGGUUUUACGGAACUUAUUCCUAGGACUCUCCAGUAUCUCUAAUAACUACGAACAUAAUUUUUAAGAGACAAAGACGAUCUCUCCAAAAAAACCCCCAAAAUUUCAAAGUUAGGAAUGCUGCACUACCUACGCCGUGAUCCCUAUGCCACGGCAGGUAAUUUCUGAAAUGCUGUGGCCUGGGGAGGAGGCUGAGACACAAACACACACGUGUACAAGUGCAUGCACAUGUGCACACAUGCACACUCAACAUUCUCCAUGCUUUUUUCGACACCUGUGACAUUCAUGGCUUCAACUGCCAUUCCGACACAGAUGGCCCCCAGAUCCACACCCGUGAGGCUUCCCCUGCAGCCCCACCUGGCUGGCUCUCUUCGCCGGGACGACUGUCCGCAGUCACUUCAGCCUUGAUGACCCAACUACUUCUGAAUUUUGGACUACAAUCAGCCAAGUCUGCACAUGACACACAUGAAGAACCAGCUAGAAAGAGGACCAGAAGAUGAAGGAGAAGAGGAAAGGAAGAGGAAUGAGAAAGAGGAAGAAGCAUAACGACCUGAACAGUGAAACAGAAUGUGGCCACUCGUCUGAGGUCUGAGUCAGGAGCGGGGCCAGGGCUGGAGCGCUUACCAGUAACUUGGUCUGAUAGAUU
Molecule: long non-coding RNA, 739 nt
Organism: Mirounga angustirostris (Northern elephant seal)
Lineage: Eukaryota; Metazoa; Chordata; Mammalia; Carnivora; Phocidae
Exons: 3
Source: RefSeq, a predicted model, not a curated record